ACGCUGGCGGCGUGCCUAACACAUGCAAGUCGAACGGGGAUUUUGUUUCGGCAGAAUCCUAGUGGCGAACGGGUGAGUAACGCGUAUGCAACCUGCCCACCACACGGAGAUAGCCGACCGAAAGGACGAUUAAACUCCGAUGGCAUUGGGAACCGGCAUCGGUAUCCAAUUAAAUAUUCAUAGGUGGUGGAUGGGCAUGCGUGGCAUUAGUUAGUUGGCGGGGCAACGGCCCACCAAGACGAUGAUGCCUAUGGGUUCUAAAAGGAAGAUCCCACACAUCGGUACUGAGACACGGACCGAACUCC
This 305-nucleotide ribosomal RNA is filed under the name uncultured Bacteroidales bacterium. RNAcentral's name for it is "bacterial SSU rRNA". It matches the Rfam family "Bacterial small subunit ribosomal RNA", at positions 33 to 339 of the family's 1533-position model. The record is from RNAcentral. Lineage: Bacteria; Pseudomonadati; Bacteroidota; Bacteroidia; Bacteroidales.